UUUAAACACAACCAUGAGUUUCCGUGUAUAACUUUAAUUGUACAUCUUAUUUGAAUUUUUUUAUGAUUAGUGUUUUUAUUAUUAUUAGAUGAUAAAACAUGAAUAGUACUUUAUGUGUGAUUUAUGUUUUUUAAUUUUUUAAAAAAAUUAUCAAAUAAAAUGAAUGAUUAAAAUUAAUUGCACACGGAAACUCAUGGUUACGUUUAAA
Molecule: non-coding RNA, 208 nt
Organism: Oryza punctata
Lineage: Eukaryota; Viridiplantae; Streptophyta; Magnoliopsida; Poales; Poaceae
Source: Rfam